Molecule: ribosomal RNA, 1343 nt
Filed under: uncultured bacterium
Lineage: Bacteria
Description: 16S ribosomal RNA
Rfam family: Bacterial small subunit ribosomal RNA
Source: RNAcentral
GACGAACGCUGGCGGCGUGCUUAACACAUGCAUGUCGAACGGAAAGGCCCUGCUUUUGUGGGGUGCUCGAGUGGCGAACGGGUGAGUAACACGUGAGUAACCUGCCCUUGACUUUGGGAUAACUUCAGGAAACUGGGGCUAAUACCGGAUAGGAGCUCCUGCUGCAUGGUGGGGGUUGGAAAGUUUCGGCGGUUGGGGAUGGACUCGCGGCUUAUCAGCUUGUUGGUGGGGUAGUGGCUUACCAAGGCUUUGACGGGUAGCCGGCCUGAGAGGGCGACCGGCCACAUUGGGACUGAGAUACGGCCCAGACUCCUACGGGAGGCAGCAGUGGGGAAUAUUGCACAAUGGGCGGAAGCCUGAUGCAGCAACGCCGCGUGCGGGAUGACGGCCUUCGGGUUGUAAACCGCUUUCGCCUGUGACGAAGCGUGAGUGACGGUAAUGGGUAAAGAAGCACCGGCUAACUACGUGCCAGCAGCCGCGGUGAUACGUAGGGUGCGAGCGUUGUCCGGAUUUAUUGGGCGUAAAGGGCUCGUAGGUGGUUGAUCGCGUCGGAAGUGUAAUCUUGGGGCUUAACCCUGAGCGUGCUUUCGAUACGGGUUGACUUGAGGAAGGUAGGGGAGAAUGGAAUUCCUGGUGGAGCGGUGGAAUGCGCAGAUAUCAGGAGGAACACCAGUGGCGAAGGCGGUUCUCUGGGCCUUUCCUGACGCUGAGGAGCGAAAGCGUGGGGAGCGAACAGGCUUAGAUACCCUGGUAGUCCACGCUGUAAACGGUGGGUACUAGGUGUGGGGUCCAUUCCACGGGUUCCGUGCCGUAGCUAACGCUUUAAGUACCCCGCCUGGGGAGUACGGCCGCAAGGCUAAAACUCAAAGGAAUUGACGGGGCCCCGCACAAGCGGCGGAGCAUGCGGAUUAAUUCGAUGCAACGCGUAGAACCUUACCUGGGUUUGACAUGGAUCGGGAGUGCUCAGAGAUGGGUGUGCCUCUUUUGGGGUCGGUUCACAGGUGGUGCAUGCCUGUCGUCAGCUCGUGUCGUGAGAUGUUGGGUUAAGUCCCGCAACGAGCGCAACCCUUGUUCACUGUUGCCAGCACGUUAUGGUGGGGACUCAGUGGAGACCGCCGGGGUCAACUCGGAGGAAGGUGGGGAUGACGUCAAGUCCUCAUGCCCCUUAUGUCCAGGGCUUCACGCAUGCUACAAUGGCUGGUACAGAGAGUGGCGAGCCUGUGAGGGUGAGCGAAUCUCGGAAAGCCGGUCUCAGUUCGGAUUGGGGUCUGCAACUCGACCUCAUGGAGUCGGAGUCGCUAGUAAUCGCAGAUCAGCAACGCUGCGGUGAAUACGUUCCCGGG